AUGGCAAUUCGAGAGGCUCUAGCGUUGGCGGAAGAUCUUUAUGUGCAGAAGAUUCAGGUGGCCUCGGACUGUAAGACAGUGGUGGACGGAAUUAAGCAGGGCUCUUUUGCGGAAUAUGGUGCAAUAGUACAUGAAAUCAAAGAACAUUCGACUGUGCUUUCAUCUUGUAAUAUAGUCCAUGAGUAUAGGAGCUCGAAUACCAAGGCUCACAAUCUCGCUAAGCAUGCUUUAACACUCGGGUUUGGCCGUCAUGUUUGGUUUGGUCAUCCCGAUGAUCUGUUACUUUUACCUGUAAAUAUUGUGGUGAGUUAA
Molecule: ribosomal RNA, 312 nt
Filed under: Triticum aestivum (bread wheat)
Lineage: Eukaryota; Viridiplantae; Streptophyta; Magnoliopsida; Poales; Poaceae
Description: partial small subunit ribosomal RNA
Source: RNAcentral